This 75-nucleotide transfer RNA is filed under the name bacterium. RNAcentral describes it as "tRNA-Glu". It matches the Rfam family "tRNA". Rfam says of the family: Transfer RNA (tRNA) molecules are approximately 80 nucleotides in length. Their secondary structure includes four short double-helical elements and three loops (D, anti-codon, and T loops). RNAcentral also lists the same sequence under 2 other names. The record is from RNAcentral.
GGCCCUAUAGUCUAGCGGUCAGGACGCCGCCCUCUCACGGCGGAAGCUGGGGUUCGAUUCCCCAUAGGGCUACCA